CUACCUUUAAAACAGGUAUACGUAGGCCUGCAGAGAGUGCCUUCUCACCCAUAAUCUGUGGGAGUGCACCUGGCAGCCUGGGUCUUUUAUAGAAAAGCAAUGGUGGAAACUCUGCUGGACAUCAAAGCCUGUAUUUUCUUGAGCUGACAGCAAUACUAAGUAAUGGCACAUCAGUGUCACCAGCACAGCUUUCCCAGGCGCUCUUUUAAUACCAUCCAAGAGACAGGAAAGUUUACACUGUAAGGAGAUGUUUGACUAAUCCAAGCAGCCAGUCCAGCACUGCACUAUCACUAUCACCAUUACCUAUAUGAGGCCCCACCACAACUUUCAGUUCUCCACACUCCUGCACCACCCUCAUCUUCCCACACAGCAGCAGAAAGGACCGUUCAGCUGGCCAGUUUGCUGGUGUCAGAGGCCACGUUGCACAGGAAACAGAAGGGUAUGAGACCUGCAGACCCUCUGCACCCCUGGCAUCAGUGAGAAGCCCUGUACAGCAAUUUCAUCUUAAAUACUGGCAGAAGAUAAUUUUUUUGCAAUGUGCAACCACCACCAUGACAGAAAAUGUUGACCAGCUGCUUGCAGUGCACCAGCUCCUCAGGAAAGACAAGUUAGAUGGCUACUACUGUGCAGGUUUCUCCACUGCAAGUAUGUUUUAAGACUGCAGGUAGACAACAGAAGGGCAUUCAAGCUGCAGUCUUGCAUGGUGCACAAGCAACAACCAUGAAAUGGCUCACUCUUGCAGUUUAAGUUUGAUCUACAAGACUCAUUCUUCCAGCAAAGAUGCUCGG
Molecule: long non-coding RNA, 788 nt
Organism: Pyrgilauda ruficollis (rufous-necked snowfinch)
Lineage: Eukaryota; Metazoa; Chordata; Aves; Passeriformes; Passeridae
Exons: 3
Source: RefSeq, a predicted model, not a curated record